This is a non-coding RNA of Pelobates cultripes (western spadefoot toad), 208 nucleotides long. Lineage: Eukaryota; Metazoa; Chordata; Amphibia; Anura; Pelobatidae. The record is from the annotation of a GenBank genome assembly.
CUUAUAUUCAAACCUCCCCGCUUUUAUCAGUCCCUUAGGAAAGGAAUUACUGGCUGUCAGGGAAAUAGAUUUCAUAUUUAGCUUUCUAAAGGCCUUCUACACCUUAUACUAGUGGUCCCGUGAGACCAACACCCAUUCUCAUACUCCGAGGUAUUCGGCCCUUGGUCCAACGCAUAGCUAGCCGCAUCGCAAUGGCCAUUGGAGUAAC